RNAcentral lists this long non-coding RNA (319 nucleotides) under Musa acuminata (dwarf banana). RNAcentral's name for it is "long non-coding RNA (MACU_LNC000980)". The record is from RNAcentral. Lineage: Eukaryota; Viridiplantae; Streptophyta; Magnoliopsida; Zingiberales; Musaceae.
GAUCCCCAAGUGCGUGUGUGCUCCCGCCACCCAUGCGGGUUCCUUCAAGUGCCGCCUCCACAGGACGAACUCCCACGGCCACUCGCCGCCCUCCCCAACCUCGAUCCCUCCUCCUCCGGCACCCGUGAACUCAUCCCGCACCCCUACCGUGGAAGCUCAGUGACCACAAAGAGGAUCGGCGAUUCCCGAUGGCUUUGGAGAGAUUCUUAAUUUGGUAUCUUUGUUGUCUCAUCCACCCAACCCUAUUCUUCCGCUGCUUCCCCCUUUUUAUGUAUGGAGGUGAGAGAGAGAGAGAGAGAGAGAGUUCUGUGUGUUCUUG